GGUGAACGCUGGCGGCGUGCCUAAUACAUGCAAGUCGAGCGAACGGACGAGAAGCUUGCUUCUCUGAUGUUAGCGGCGGACGGGUGAGUAACACGUGGAUAACCUACCUAUAAGACUGGGAUAACUUCGGGAAACCGGAGCUAAUACCGGAUAAUAUUUUGAACCGCAUGGUUCAAAAGUGAAAGACGGUCUUGCUGUCACUUAUAGAUGGAUCCGCGCUGCAUUAGCUAGUUGGUAAGGUAACGGCUUACCAAGGCAACGAUGCAUAGCCGACCUGAGAGGGUGACCGGCCACACUGGAACUGAGACACGGUCCAGACUCCUACGGGAGGCAGCAGUAGGGAAUCUUCCGCAAUGGGCGAAAGCCUGACGGAGCAACGCCGCGUGAGUGAUGAAGGUCUUCGGAUCGUAAAACUCUGUUAUUAGGGAAGAACAUAUGUGUAAGUAACUGUGCACAUCUUGACGGUACCUAAUCAGAAAGCCACGGCUAACUACGUG
This 497-nucleotide ribosomal RNA is filed under the name uncultured bacterium. RNAcentral describes it as "partial 16S ribosomal RNA". It matches the Rfam family "Bacterial small subunit ribosomal RNA", at positions 28 to 507 of the family's 1533-position model. The record is from RNAcentral.